Molecule: long non-coding RNA, 266 nt
Filed under: Ananas comosus (pineapple)
Lineage: Eukaryota; Viridiplantae; Streptophyta; Magnoliopsida; Poales; Bromeliaceae
Description: long non-coding RNA (ACOM_LNC011310)
Source: RNAcentral
UAAUUUAAGAAGUUUGGAUAUAUAGAGGUGUGAAACGAAAUACCAAUAAAGAAAAUGAAACACGUCACCGACCGUUUCUAGCACAAGUGAUAAAAAAUUUGAUGAUUAGUAUUCGAUCAAAGUCUCAAGUUUAAAUUAUACUUAUUUUAUAAUUUCAGCUAAAUUUAUUUCUAAAGAAACAAAUAAAAUGAAUAGCAUGCUAUCUUUUUCUAAAAGAACAAAUAUGAAACAUGCCGGGCUUAUCAUUUUCCAUACAAUUAAGCUAC